Molecule: ribosomal RNA, 219 nt
Filed under: Morganella morganii
Lineage: Bacteria; Pseudomonadati; Pseudomonadota; Gammaproteobacteria; Enterobacterales; Morganellaceae
Description: partial 23S ribosomal RNA
Rfam family: Bacterial large subunit ribosomal RNA
Source: RNAcentral
GUCAGGUAGGGAAUACUCAGGCGCUUGAGAGAACUCGGGUGAAGGAACUAGGCAAAAUGGUGCCGUAACUUCGGGAGAAGGCACGCUGGCAUUAGGUGAAGUGGUUUACCCAUGGAGCUGAAGCCAGUCGCAGAUACCAGCUGGCUGCAACUGUUUAUUAAAAACACAGCACUGUGCAAACACGAAAGUGGACGUAUACGGUGUGACGCCUGCCCGGUG